Leptopilina boulardi is the source of this 557-nucleotide long non-coding RNA. RefSeq lists it as uncharacterized. Lineage: Eukaryota; Metazoa; Arthropoda; Insecta; Hymenoptera; Figitidae. The transcript is spliced from 3 exons. The record is from RefSeq and is a predicted model, not a curated record.
GCAAAAUCGGAUUCAGAAAGAGCAGCCAAAAAAUUGAAAAAAACUAUGAGGACGAAACGAGUAAAAUUUUAGAAUCGAAUUUAUGAACCAAAACCGUACUUCCAAUUAAUGAAUUCUCUUUGCAAAUGAAAACUCCCGAAGUCCGAAAAGCAAAGAAUCGAAAGAAGAGAAGAAAGAAUCCAAAUCUGAUAAAUUGACUAAAAAGGAGAAGCAGAAGGAAAAGAAAAAGAUCAAUUACAGCGAAAAGAAAAUAUUGAAAAAACUAAGAAAUCAAUGGAAAAAGAGAAGAUAAAAGCAAUUCAAGAAAAGUAACAAAGAAAAUUAAACAGAAAAGUAAAGAGAAAGAACAACCAAAAAAGAAAAUAAGGAAGAUAACUCAAAAAUUCAAAAUAAAAAUGAAUCGCAAAUAAUUGAUUUUGCCCCUUCAUCUGAUGAAAUAUCAGGGCAAAUUGAUGGUAAAAUAAAAUCCAGUACGAACAUGGAGAACACUCGGAAAAGGAAAUUAACCGAAGAAAAGGAAGAGCAACCCUUAGGUAAAACUAAAAAUUCAAACUUUC